GGUCUAGUGGUGGUCUAGGGAGGUCUAGUUGUGGUCUAGGGUGGUCUAGGGUGGUCUAGGGUGGUCUAGGUGGUCUAGGGUGGUCUAGUUGUGGUCUAGGGUGGUCUAGUUGUGGUCUAGUGGUGGUCUAGGGUGGUCUAGUUGUGGUCUAGGGGUGGUCUAGGGUGGUCUAGUUGUGGUCUAGUUGUGGUCUAGGGUGGUCUAGGGGUGGUCGUUGGUGGUCUAGUGGUGGUCUAGUGGUGGUCUAGGGUGGUCUAGGGUGGUCUAGUUGUGGUCUAGUUGUGGUCUAGGGUGGUCUAUGGUGGUCCUAGUUGUGGUCUAGGGUGGUCUAGGGUGGUCUGGGGUGGUCUGUGGUGGUCUAUGGUGGUCUAUGAUGGUCUAUGGUGGUCUAGGGUGGUCUAGGGUAGUCUAGUUGUGGUCUAGUUGUGGUCUAGUUGUGGUCUAUG
Molecule: long non-coding RNA, 446 nt
Filed under: Salmo salar (Atlantic salmon)
Lineage: Eukaryota; Metazoa; Chordata; Actinopteri; Salmoniformes; Salmonidae
Description: lncRNA (ENSSSAG00000122092.1)
Source: RNAcentral